This 581-nucleotide ribosomal RNA is filed under the name uncultured bacterium. RNAcentral's name for it is "partial 16S ribosomal RNA". It matches the Rfam family "Bacterial small subunit ribosomal RNA", at positions 355 to 926 of the family's 1533-position model. The record is from RNAcentral.
UGGGGAAUAUUGCACAAUGGGCGCAAGCCUGAUGCAGCCAUGCCGCGUGUGUGAAGAAGGCCUUCGGGUUGUAAAGCACUUUCAGCGAGGAGGAAGGUGGUGAACUUAAUACGUUCAUCAAUUGACGUUACUCGCAGAAGAAGCACCGGCUAACUCCGUGCCAGCAGCCGCGGUAAUACGGAGGGUGCAAGCGCUAAUCGGAAUUACUGGGCGUAAAGCGCACGCAGGCGGUUUGUUAAGUCAGAUGUGAAAUCCCCGGGCUCAACCUGGGAACUGCAUUUGAAACUGGCAAGCUAGAGUCUCGUAGAGGGGGGUAGAAUUCCAGGUGUAGCGGUGAAAUGCGUAGAGAUCUGGAGGAAUACCGGUGGCGAAGGCGGCCCCCCUGGACGAAGACUGACGCUCAGGUGCGAAAGCGUGGGGCAGCAAACAGGAUUAGAUACCCUGGUAGUCCACGCUGUAAACGAUGUCGAUUUGGAGGUUGUGCCCUUGAGGCGUGGCUUCCGGAGCUAACGCGUUAAAUCGACCGCCUGGGGAGUACGGCCGCAAGGUUAAAACUUAAAGGAAUUGACGGGGUCUAGCUG